GACGAACCGUGCGAACGUUGUUCGGAUUCACUGGGCUUAAAGGGCGCGUAGGCGGGCGGCUCAGUCCGAGGUGAAAUCUUUCGGCUCAACCGGAAAAGUGCCUCGGAUACGGGUCGCCUCGAGGGAGGUAGGGGCAUGUGGAACUUCCGGUGGAGCGGUGAAAUGCGUAGAUAUCGGAAGGAACGCCGGUGGCGAAAGCGACGUGCCGGACCUCUUCUGACGCUGAGGCGCGAAAGCCAGGGGAGCAAACGGG
Molecule: ribosomal RNA, 253 nt
Filed under: uncultured bacterium
Lineage: Bacteria
Description: partial 16S ribosomal RNA
Rfam family: Bacterial small subunit ribosomal RNA
Source: RNAcentral